Molecule: ribosomal RNA, 329 nt
Filed under: uncultured eukaryote
Lineage: Eukaryota
Description: partial 18S ribosomal RNA
Rfam family: Eukaryotic small subunit ribosomal RNA
Source: RNAcentral
CCCUUAGAUGUUCUGGGCCGCACGCGCGCUACACUGAUGCAUUCAACGAGUCUAAAACCUGGUCUGAUAGGGCUGGGUAAUCUUUUGAAUGUGCAUCGUGAUUGGGAUAGAUGAUUGCAAUUCUUCAUCUUCAACGAGGAAUGCCUAGUAAACGCAAGUCAUCAGCUUGCAUUGAUUACGUCCCUGCCCUUUGUACACACCGCCCGUCGCUCCUACCGAUUGAAUGAUCCGAUGAAUAUCAUGGAUUGAGGAUGCAAGCAGGUUCGCCUGUCUUCAUCUUCGAGAAGUGAAGUAAAUCUUAUCAUUUAGAGGAAGGAGAAGUCGUAACA